AUGUACUAGAGGGCAGGAUCAGCGUUAAUGUGUAGGGGGAUGGUGUUAGACUGAAGUAUGUGUCGUAGAGCGCGGUGAGGCGGUUUUGUAAAGUGGAUGUGAAAGCCCACGGGUCAAGCGGUGAGGGUCAGUGGAAACUGGAAAACUUGAGUGCAGAAGAGGAAAGUGGAAUUCCAUGUGUAGCGGUGAAAUGCGCAGAGAUAUGGAGGAACACCAGUGGCGAAGGCGACUUUCUGGUCUGCAACUGACGCUGAUGUGCGAAAGCGUGGGGAUCAAACAGGAUUAGAUACCCUUGUAGUC
RNAcentral lists this ribosomal RNA (300 nucleotides) under uncultured Lactobacillus sp. RNAcentral describes it as "bacterial SSU rRNA". It matches the Rfam family "Bacterial small subunit ribosomal RNA", at positions 496 to 795 of the family's 1533-position model. The record is from RNAcentral. Lineage: Bacteria; Bacillati; Bacillota; Bacilli; Lactobacillales; Lactobacillaceae.